GGGAAUAGUGUAGUGUAAGGCUAAUUCAAGGUAUGGCUAAGGCAUAAAUAGCAUUCGCUUUUAAUUAAGUUGGUCAAGUUUUAUUAGCAAUUAACUAAGUAUAAGUUCAUACCACCCGAAAUUAAACAUGAACAUAAAUAAAGCAACAAAUGCAUGAAAUGAUAACAAGUUUAAUCCAUCUUUCGAUAAUAUUAUCAUGUGAGGGUCCAGGCCGCUCUUAACCGUGAGCACGGCUGAUCGAUCAGUUUAACACUCUGCAGAGGUGGCACAUCUUUACCCACAAGUCGCGUAAAAGUUCAAAAGAACUUUGGACCCAACCAUGCGGUGUUUGCAAGGCACCAUACCACACUUCCGAGGUGUGAUUGC
RNAcentral lists this long non-coding RNA (366 nucleotides) under Setaria viridis. RNAcentral describes it as "long non-coding RNA (SVIR_LNC001631)". The record is from RNAcentral. Lineage: Eukaryota; Viridiplantae; Streptophyta; Magnoliopsida; Poales; Poaceae.